AAUCAACGCUGGCGGCGUGCCUAACACAUGCAAGUCGAACGAGAAAGUGGAGCAAUCCAUGAGUAAAGUGGCGACCGGGUGAGUAACACGUGACUAACCUACCCUAGAGUGGGGAAUAACCUCGGGAAACCGGGGCUAAUACCGCAUAACAUCGCAGAGGGAAGCUCUUUGCGAUCAAAGGAGUAAUUCGCUCAAGGAGGGGGUCGCGGCUGAUUAGUUAGUUGGUGAGGUAACGGCCCACCAAGACUUAGAUCAGUAGCCGGCCUGAGA
Molecule: ribosomal RNA, 270 nt
Filed under: uncultured bacterium
Lineage: Bacteria
Description: partial 16S ribosomal RNA
Rfam family: Bacterial small subunit ribosomal RNA
Source: RNAcentral